AAUGACUGACCGGGAAGCGCGUCCAGGUUAUUGGCCACAACCUGGCUAUUUUUGCAUUCUAAUUUUCGAAAAAGAUGGUGACCAUAUAAAGUUAUUGAUAUAGUUAAUCAGUGACCAGUGCCUUUGUAUCUCAUUCGCUACUUAUCGGACGGGAAAACACGCCAAGUCUUUCGCCACGAACUCGAGCCUGCACAGACUUCCAGGGUGCAGACGACACUUGCAACAGAACAAAGUCAAUGACAACCAACAAGAAGAAAACCACAAUGAGGACCAUGGUCCGGCAGCAAGAAAAAAGUCAUGCAGCGUUGUAUAUUCCACUCCUGAUAAUACGAACAGCCAUGGGGGAGUUGACAGACAGGUUCUUAUGCCAAAACCAUUUAUAAUACAGUUGGCUGACUCUGCAGACCACCUUCAUUCGGAGCCAAUUGCUCCUCAUGUACUGGCAGUGGCAGCAUGGGUAAAGUUGAUGAAAUAACUGGCAGUGAAAUGUCUGAAGAAGAACUUAACCAGUAAGAUGUAGUGAUGGUGUGGCAGAUUGAAGAAAUUGUGUUUGUUGUCCCAUUUUGCAGUUUAUAGAAGUGUAAUGUCAAAAAUGUUUUUUCUUACAUUAAAAUUGUAUGGGUCAUAAAAGUGUUAAACACCAGGGGGCCGUUUCAUAAACGAUCGUUUGACAAUGUUAACUUACGAGAGAAUUUUGUAAUCUUAAUAAGCAGAUGAACUAGCUCACUAUGCUCGUCGAAUAUAUACGGCACUAUAGAUGCCAAUGUAAGUAAUUAAGUACUGAAACUUUAUAAACAUAUGAUUUGAACUUUAGCAAUUAUACAUCUUCGAAAAAGGUAUCGUCUCGUAAAUGUGUAUUACGAUAUUUAUUGAAACGAGCCCCAGAAGACACUCGUGAUUUGAAACCACGCAUCUAAACUUCCGGCCGUGGGUUCUUCGAUUUAAAUUAAGGAAUUUUGACCACACCGAGCUGUUUAGUUUGAAACAACAUGUAUGUAAUAAUAAAUUUGUCCUGGAAUGUCAAAUGUGAAUGAUCUCUUUCAAUGGUAAGUUAACAAAGUAUUGCCCACUGUAGUUAUUGAAUAUUGUUGAAAUAAAUAAACAUACAUUUAUUGAACAAUUUGAGAUACAUAUGCACUGGCCACUGUUUAGCUAUAUCAAUAACUUUAUAUGUGUCACCAUAAUAAAUUUGUCCGGGAAUGUCAAAUGUUAAAGAUCUCGUUCAAUGGUAGGUUAACAAAUUAUUCUAUUUUGUACUGAAAGAAAGAAAACAUUAACAUCCUAUUAAUUGUAUACAUGUAUUGCCUACUGUAGUUAUUGAAUAUCGUUGAAAUAAAUAAACAUAAAUUUA
This is a long non-coding RNA of Dreissena polymorpha, 1351 nucleotides long. RefSeq lists it as uncharacterized. Lineage: Eukaryota; Metazoa; Mollusca; Bivalvia; Myida; Dreissenidae. The transcript is spliced from 3 exons. The record is from RefSeq and is a predicted model, not a curated record.